This 348-nucleotide ribosomal RNA is filed under the name uncultured bacterium. RNAcentral's name for it is "partial 16S ribosomal RNA". It matches the Rfam family "Bacterial small subunit ribosomal RNA", at positions 338 to 699 of the family's 1533-position model. The record is from RNAcentral.
CCUACGGGUGGCAGCAGUGGGGAAUAUUGGGCAAUGGAGGAAACUCUGACCCAGCAAUGCCGCGUGAAUGAAGAAGGUCUUCGGAUUGUAAAGUUCUUUAGUCAGGGAAGAAUAAAAUGACGGUAUCUGAAGACUAAGCUCCGGCUAACUACGUGCUCGCAGCCGCGGUAAUACGUAGGGAGCAAGCGUUGUUCGGAAGGACCGGGCGUAAAGGGUGCGUAGGCGGUUAUACAAGUAAGAUGUGAAAUACCCAGGGCUUAACUCGGGUGCUGCUACUAAAACUGUAAGGCUUGAGUGCGGUAGAGGUGAGUGGAAUGCCUAGUGUAGCGGUGGAAUGCGUAGAUAUUA